This is a long non-coding RNA of Malus domestica (apple), 758 nucleotides long. RefSeq lists it as uncharacterized. The record is from RefSeq and is a predicted model, not a curated record. Lineage: Eukaryota; Viridiplantae; Streptophyta; Magnoliopsida; Rosales; Rosaceae.
UGAUUAUAUUUAGAAAACCUAGGUCUUUCUCUCUCUAGAAACUGAGAGAGGUCUCACAUGUCUCUCAGCCCUCUCUUUCUUUAAGAACAAAAAAUGGUUCUCAUUUCCCUAUAAUGGAGAACCCUAGCCGCGCCUCCUCUUCCAUUUCUACUUCAAUGCCUUACCAUCCUCUCUCACAUCAACACAAACCCUUCACUCUAGCCGCUCCUCCAUGUUCUCUAGGUCUCCCAAAAUUAAACUUCAAACAUGCCUCCAAUGUUCUCGGUCCCAGUCAUGGAGUUCAUCAUCCUUACUGGAUCUCGGCUGCGAAACCCAAGUCCCCAAAGAAACACACUAAAACCCAGCCUUCAUAGAUCUAUAGCAAAGCGUCCAAGACUCCUCCAUCUGCAGGUAAAACUCCCAGAUCCGUUGAUGGCAAGGAAGAAAAAAAAAUAAAGGAGAACCUCUUGGAGUCAACAGAUCCGUGGAAAGAGAAGGAAACUUAGAGUCGUGAUAUAUCCGAGAGAAAAAAAAAUGUUCGAGUUGCAGAUUCAGUCGACAAAAUGGCAAAACAAGUUUCCAAGUAGCCACGACUUCGGAUCUGAAAGCUAUAAACCCUCAUCUCUGCUGGAAUCCAUGUUGGAUGUGUAAACUUAUGCAAAUGAGUAUGGCAUGCAUGUAUUAUCUGUGAGAUCACCCCAAACUUAAUAUAAGUAAUAAACGGAGAUUGUAAUUGCUGGACAAAAAUAAAUAAAAGGCUUAGAUCUGUAUGGGGAUGA